RNAcentral lists this transfer RNA (67 nucleotides) under bovine gut metagenome. It matches the Rfam family "tRNA". From Rfam's summary of the family: Transfer RNA (tRNA) molecules are approximately 80 nucleotides in length. The record is from RNAcentral.
GGGAGUGGCUCAGUGGUAGAGCAUCGGCUUCCCAAGCCGGCGGUCGCGAGUUCGAAUCUCGUCUCCC